CAGAAGUGUUUGUAUUACUUCAUUGGAAUUUGGGAAGUAUUAAUCAUUUAAUCUAUGGUCAUUGGAACUAAAGAUAUGUGAGAUAUGGAAACCUUCAUGUUGGACUGACGCUCCUUGUGUGUCUCCAUGUAUGACAAGAGCUGCACGAGGCACGAGAGCACAUCGUUUAUCUGUCACGUUGACGCUUUGCUGCGUAAAAUAAAGACAAAACGGAAAGAAUCAAACGAUCUCCGGUCAUUCGCGUAAGAAAAGGAAGCCGCUUUACAACUUGGACCCGCCGCCAGCAGCAGAGCCGCUAGCCGGAGAGAGACGUGCUGCUCGCCGUGUAGCUUCGCCAGUCGCCCUCUGAUGGUUUGUUGUCUUUCAAAAUGAAGAAACUCCAGACGGACAGAAGACAUCUCGGAUCGAAAAGUUAGUCAAAAGAAUUUAAUUAAAAAAAGUCACCACCUCAGCCGAGGAUUCUCAGACCACAGCGAGUCCUUUGACCAAGACGUAGUUAACCGUCUACCGGCUCCACCCACGAAUCCCCAACAAGGGGACACACGUACAUGUAAAGACAAUCAAGGUGCACUAACUAUGCUGUUGGUCUAACAGAGUUCUGUGGUGAUUGGGUUAGAGUCGGUGCGGGCGGCAGCGUCCACGCCUCUGAGCACAUGACGUCAGGCGCGUCCAAGGUAGCUGGGUAUUUGGAGUGUUCCAUAGAGAAAGUGGUGCAAUGAGGUAUGACACUGAAUGCUGCGUUGAAUGUAACUUGGAUUUCAUAGGUCUCUUACUCAAUAUCAAUACCGCUCCCUGAGCACCUCUGCACCAGCCUGUUGAACCACACGCUGUCGCGGGUCCCCCAGGAGCCUACUGGCCAUGGCCUUCAGGCCAAGGCUCCCACUGGAACCAGCACCAGCGGCAGAAACGUGGCUACUAAGAGGGCAGCGAGGCUCUGGUUUCCGGGUUCCCACUCUAUCGCACCAGCUCUGCAGUCCGUGAGUGGGCUCUACAUUGUAAGUAAUGGUGGGUUCUUCCAGGGGCAUAAGUGUGAGUACGCUGAGCCUGUACUUCCCCUCUGGCUAUCCCUAGUUGUGAUGAUGAGGCGGUGGUCCUUGUCCCCGCGCUGCUGUAGCUGGCUGGUGGACUGCGUGGUGAUGGAUUGUAAAGCUCCAGACAGUCACCUCAUGUGAUGAAUGUCACCACAAUUCCAGCAUGCGUACAAACUGUGGGUAUAGCCGGGGCGUUGUGGGGGAGGUCUGUUGAUUCAGCAUCCAGUCAUCGUCCUGAUAACGUCUUGGGCCUCCAGGGCGGCCAUAUCUGGAGUUCUGUCCGCCCUUCUGUCUACAACUCAAGGGUCCCCG
This is a long non-coding RNA of Gasterosteus aculeatus aculeatus (three-spined stickleback), 1343 nucleotides long. Lineage: Eukaryota; Metazoa; Chordata; Actinopteri; Perciformes; Gasterosteidae. The record is from Ensembl.